UUGGUGCCUGCUAUUAGAAUC
This is a non-coding RNA of Caenorhabditis elegans, 21 nucleotides long. The record is from Ensembl. Lineage: Eukaryota; Metazoa; Nematoda; Chromadorea; Rhabditida; Rhabditidae.